AAUUAUUAUCAUGGUAGCUAUCCUUCACAGUCUCUUCCUUUCUGUCUUAUAGAGCCCUUGGGAAGGUUCCUGUGCACACUUCCAUGCCUUGCUCAGCAUGUGCUGGCCGCUGUUAGAGGGCCAAGAACCUAGGGAUUGUGAUGCACUUGUGUAGGUUGUCAAGAGAUUCAGGUCCUGUCUUCCAUGUGAACAUGACAUGGACAUCAGCUUCCUAAAGGUACCUCUACACCAUCUUGUGAUGACAGUUCAUGCCACUCUUUUGCCCUUUGGA
This is a long non-coding RNA of Erinaceus europaeus (western European hedgehog), 271 nucleotides long. RefSeq lists it as uncharacterized. The transcript has 3 exons. The record is from RefSeq and is a predicted model, not a curated record. Lineage: Eukaryota; Metazoa; Chordata; Mammalia; Eulipotyphla; Erinaceidae.